CACAAGCGGUGGAUGAUGUGGAUUAAUUUCGAUGCAACGCGAAAAACCUUACCUACCCUUGACAUGUCCGGAAUCCCGAAGAGAUUUGGGAGUGCUCGCAAGAGAACCUGCACACAGGUGCUGCAUGGCUGUCGUCAGCUCGUGUCGUGAGAUGUUGGGUUAAGUCCCGCAACGAGCGCAACCCUUGCCAUUAGUUGCUACGAAAGGGCACUCUAAUGGGACUGCCGGUGACAAACCGGAGGAAGGUGGGGAUGACGUCAAGUCCUCAUGGCCCUUAUAGGUGGGGCUACACACGUCAUACAAUGGCCGGUACAGAGGGUAGCCAACCCGCGAGGGGGAGCCAAUCCCACAAAGCCGGUCGUAGUCCGGAUCGCAGUCUGCAACUCGACUGCGUGAAGUCGGAAUCGCUAGUAAUCGCGGAUCAGCAUGUCGCGGUGAAUACGUUCCCGGGUCUU
RNAcentral lists this ribosomal RNA (455 nucleotides) under uncultured Allobrachymonas sp. Its description in RNAcentral is "bacterial SSU rRNA". It matches the Rfam family "Bacterial small subunit ribosomal RNA", at positions 924 to 1382 of the family's 1533-position model. The record is from RNAcentral. Lineage: Bacteria; Pseudomonadati; Pseudomonadota; Betaproteobacteria; Burkholderiales; Comamonadaceae.